This 437-nucleotide ribosomal RNA is filed under the name Limbochromis robertsi. Its description in RNAcentral is "partial 16S ribosomal RNA". It matches the Rfam family "Bacterial large subunit ribosomal RNA", at positions 1969 to 2551 of the family's 2925-position model. The record is from RNAcentral. Lineage: Eukaryota; Metazoa; Chordata; Actinopteri; Cichliformes; Cichlidae.
UUGUCUUUUAAAUGAAGACCCGUAUGAAUGGCACAACGAGGGCUUAACUGUCUCCUUUUUCCAGUCAAUGAAAUUGAUCUUCCCGUGCAGAAGCGGGAAUAUUUACAUAAGACGAGAAGACCCUGUGGAGCUUUAGACACCAGAACAGACUAUGUUAAAUACUUUCUACCACAAAAGAUUAAAACCUAUUAACCCCUGUUCUAAUGUCUUUGGUUGGGGCGACCGCGGGGAAACAAAAAACCCCCACGUGGACCGGGAGCACUAUACUCCUAAAACCCAGAGUCACAACUCAAAGCAACAGAACUUCUGACCAAUAAUGAUCCGGCAUCAGCCGAUCAACGGACCAAGUUACCCUAGGGAUAACAGCGCAAUCCUCUUUUAGAGCCCAUAUCGACAAGGGGGUUUACGACCUCGAUGUUGGAUCAGGACAUCCUAAU